Molecule: ribosomal RNA, 320 nt
Filed under: uncultured eukaryote
Lineage: Eukaryota
Description: partial 18S ribosomal RNA
Rfam family: Eukaryotic small subunit ribosomal RNA
Source: RNAcentral
UCCUUAGAUGUUCUGGGCUGCACGCGUGUUACAAUCGGGAGUACAACAAGAUUGCAAAUCCUAGUGGAUGAGUGGUUCUUCGAAAUUUUCUGAAGACUGGGAUAGUUGAUUGAAAUUAUUCAACUCAAACGAGGAAUUCCUUGUAAUUGUAAUUCAUUAUAUUGUAAUGAAUACGUCCCUGCCCUUUGUACACACCGCCCGUCGCUCCUACCGAUUGAACGAUCCGGUGAAUUAUUUGGAGUAGCUCUGGAAGUUGCAGAACUUCCUAUGUCACGAAAUUUUGUAAACCUUAUCGUUUAGAGGAAGGAAAAGUCGUAACA